CAGCCCCGUGGUGAAGAACACAUCGGAUUGCAAAUCCUAAGACGUAGAUUAAUAAUCUGCCGGGGCUUU
Molecule: non-coding RNA, 69 nt
Organism: Sinocyclocheilus grahami
Lineage: Eukaryota; Metazoa; Chordata; Actinopteri; Cypriniformes; Cyprinidae
Source: Ensembl